UACAGAGGAGGCGAGCGUUGCUCGGAAUUACUGGGCUUAAAGCGCGUGUAGGCGGCUGUGUAAGUGUCCCGUGAAAUCCCACGACUCAAUCGCGGAACUGCGGGGCAUACUGCACGGCUUGAGGUCGGCAGAGGUGCCUGGAACUCUAGGUGGAGCGGUGAAAUGCGUAGAUAUCUAGAGGAAUGCCAGAGGCGAAGGCGGGGCACUGGGCCGAAUCUGACGCUGAGACGCGAAAGCGUGGGGAUCAAACAGG
This 253-nucleotide ribosomal RNA is filed under the name uncultured bacterium. RNAcentral's name for it is "partial 16S ribosomal RNA". It matches the Rfam family "Bacterial small subunit ribosomal RNA", at positions 524 to 776 of the family's 1533-position model. The record is from RNAcentral.